UACGGAGGGUGCAAGCGUUAUCCGGAUUCACUGGGUUUAAAGGGUGCGUAGGCGGUCAGGUAAGUCCGUGGUGAAAUCUCUGAGCUUAACUCAGAAACUGCCAUGGAUACUAUUUGUCUUGAAUAUUGUGGAGGUAAGCGGAAUAUGUCAUGUAGCGGUGAAAUGCUUAGAUAUGACAUAGAACACCAAUUGCGAAGGCAGCUUACUACACAGUUAUUGACGCUGAGGCACGAAAGCGUGGGGAGCAAACAGG
Molecule: ribosomal RNA, 253 nt
Filed under: uncultured bacterium
Lineage: Bacteria
Description: partial 16S ribosomal RNA
Rfam family: Bacterial small subunit ribosomal RNA
Source: RNAcentral